GAUGAACGCUGGCGGCGUGCCUAACACUUGCAAGUCGAGCGAUUCUCUUCGGAGAAGAGCGGCGGACGGGUGAGUAACGCGUGGGUAACCUGCCCUGUACACACGGAUAACAUACCGAAAGGUAUGCUGAUACGAGAUAAUAUACUUUUAUCGCAUGGUAGAAGUAUCAAAGCUUUUGCGGUACAGGAUGGACCCGCGUCUGAUUAGCUAGUUGGUAAGGUAACGGCUUACCAAGGCGACGAUCAGUAGCCGACCUGAGAGGGUGAUCGGCCACAUUGGAACUGAGACACGGACCAAACUCCUACGGGAGGCAGCAGUGGGGAAUAUUGCAAAAUAGGCGAAAGCCUGAUGCAGCUACGCCGCGUGAGCGAUGAAGGCCUUCGGGUCGUAAAGCUCUGUCCUCAAGGAAGAUAAUGACGGUACUUGAGGAGGAAGCCCCGGUUAACUACGUGCCAGCCGCCGCGGUAA
RNAcentral lists this ribosomal RNA (468 nucleotides) under uncultured bacterium. RNAcentral's name for it is "partial 16S ribosomal RNA". It matches the Rfam family "Bacterial small subunit ribosomal RNA", at positions 28 to 523 of the family's 1533-position model. The record is from RNAcentral.